CUUCUUCUUUCUUCUUUCCUCUUCUGCUUCUCCUCUGUUUCUCUUUUUCUUCGUUCUUCUUUCUAUCGAUUCAGUUUAGAGGAUUUGAGUUUUAUAAGAGAUGGUGGUGGUGCUGAUUUGGAUUGAUUAAGAUUUGGAGGAAAAGAAAUUGAUGUUGUUGUGGAUAUGAAGAAGAGAUGAACUGAACUAGGGUUAUUGAGCCGAUUUGGAAAAUUAUAUGGAUUUAAGUAAUCUGAUAUUUGAUGUGAGUUGCUAGUAGAUGUUGAAGGAACGGGUGAUUGUUAAUUUGAUGAUAUGAAGUAGAUCUGAAGAUGAAUCAAGGGUUAAGGUUUCCCAGAAGAUUGUUUAGAGGUUCGAUUAUUGAUGAAUAAGAUGGAAUUACAGAUGGGUUUUCCUUGAAUUAGAGUUUGAGGUUGAAGGAUUGCUUGAGAUUGACAGUUAGGGUUCUGUGAGGAAAAAGAAAAGAGGAUUAGGGUUUCUGCAAUUCAGUGAAGUUGUGAUUUUAGAUGUUUAAGAAGAAAUUAAUGGAUGGGUAUUGAAGAACAAGAGGUGAAGAAGAAGUUAUAACGUUAAUUCGAAGAUUCAGUUACUUGAGCCAAGCUACUUUAAGGGUUAAGGAUGAAUAGUAAGGGUUAAGAAGGAAGAGUAAUUUGAUUAAGAUGAAAUAUAUGGAGAAGAGAUAGGUCCUGUGGUGGUUUAUCAAUUUAGAGUUACAACGGCUGUGGUUGGUGAAAAAACAGUACAUAUAAGACUAAUUUCUGGGUAAGUCCUUAUAUUGUUUAAUUUCAGCAUUUGAAGUUGAGUUAUGUGGAUUGUAGAGUUUAUGUAACUAUGAAUGAAAUCUAGGGUGAGAAGAAUACUCAACGGAACUGUGGUUGUAGUUAGAAAUGGUAUUGAUAGUAAUGGGAUUGUUGAUGAAGCUAAGAUAUAAGGUGAGUAUGGAACAAAAUGAGUUUGUAUGACUUGUUAUUUAGAUGAGUGAUCAAGGUGAAUGUGAAUUUGAAUCGAAGGAUGAUGUUGAUGUUGUAUUGUUAGGGAGAUAUCGGUUGAUGGUGGAGGUCUGGAAAUGUAUGUUCUGGUGAUGUGAAUUGCAGGGGAGAAGUUAUAAAGAAUAUGUGUUGUUGUGUGUAUUGGUAGAUGCUGGAGUUGUUACUGCAUAACUGAAGUAGAAGUGGUUGUCUGUGUAAGGGAUUGCAGUUUAUUGAGUUUGAUAGAGAUGUUAUUGAGAUGAUACAAGGAUUAAUCUUUAAGAGCUGGUACUGAGAUGAUUUUCAAGGAGUAUUGUGGCACUGUGAUUGUGGAAUUACUGAUUUGUGGUGGUUUAGUCAGUGUAUGCAUGACAAGGAAGAAACUAAUAUGAGAAUGAAGUUGAAUUCAGGUUAGAUGGUUGAAGUGUUGCACAAUUGGUUGUGUUAAACAUAAAUUAUGUACAAUGGAUGUGAUUUUGUUGUAAAGGUGUUGUUGUAGUUAGGUUGGGAAUGUGGUGUAUGAGGGGAAAGAAAGCUGAGGGUUUGUUGGUUAGAGAUGUGUUCAUAGAUGUAGUUGUAUGGCUUGAUGGCAGUCUCUAUGAAUGCUUGCUUCUGCUACCUAAAGUUAGUCGUUAUUAACAACGAUCGAUUCAAAGGAUGAACCAGUGGAUCGUGGAUCUCGAGGUAGGCGUGGCUUGUCAUCAAAAGAGGUGGGAAUUUAUAUUUAACUCUUUUGUGAUUAUUGUUGUUUUCUUUUACAAGAGUUUAUGUUUAACAAAUUCUUGCAUUGUCUGAUUGUUUAUUCCAUGCAUUAUUUUAUUUAAAAUUUCGAAAGUACUGUUGAUUCCUUUAAUCUUUCCAUGGUUUGGAAAGGAGCUGUAAUGCUUUGUUUGUCUCUAUGAAUUGUUUGGGAAAUAAGAAUUUACAUUUGUAUGCUUGGAAA
Molecule: long non-coding RNA, 1911 nt
Organism: Papaver somniferum (opium poppy)
Lineage: Eukaryota; Viridiplantae; Streptophyta; Magnoliopsida; Ranunculales; Papaveraceae
Exons: 2
Source: RefSeq, a predicted model, not a curated record